GACGAACGCUGGCGGCGUGCUUAACACAUGCAAGUCGAACGGAAAGGCCCUGCUUUUGUGGGGUGCUCGAGUGGCGAACGGGUGAGUAACACGUGAGUAACCUGCCCUUGACUUUGGGAUAACUUCAGGAAACUGGGGCUAAUACCGGAUAGGAGCUCCUGCUGCAUGGUGGGGGUUGGAAAGUUUCGGCGGUUGGGGAUGGACUCGCGGCUUAUCAGCUUGUUGGUGGGGUAGUGGCUUACCAAGGCUUUGACGGGUAGCCGGCCUGAGAGGGUGACCGGCCACCUUGGGACCGAGGUUCGGCCCCGACUCCUUCGGGAGGCAGCAGUGGGGGAUAUUGCCCCAUGGGCGGAAGCCCUAUGCAGCCACGCCGCGUGCCGGAUGACGGCCUUCGGGCUGUAAACCGCUUUCGGCUGUGACGAAGCGUGAGUUACGGUAAUUGGUAAAGAAGCACCGGCUAACUACGUG
This 468-nucleotide ribosomal RNA is filed under the name uncultured bacterium. Its description in RNAcentral is "partial 16S ribosomal RNA". It matches the Rfam family "Bacterial small subunit ribosomal RNA", at positions 28 to 507 of the family's 1533-position model. The record is from RNAcentral.